Molecule: ribosomal RNA, 406 nt
Filed under: uncultured bacterium
Lineage: Bacteria
Description: partial 16S ribosomal RNA
Rfam family: Bacterial small subunit ribosomal RNA
Source: RNAcentral
AUUGAACGCUGGCGGCAGGCCUAACACAUGCAAGUCGAACGUAUAGAGGACGUGUCAGUAAUGUCUGGGAAACUGCCUGAUGGAGGGGGAUAACUACCGGAAACGGUAGCUAAUACCGCAUACCAUCAGAUGUGCCCAGAAGGGAUGAGCUUGUUGGUGGGGUAACGGAUCACAAAGGCGACGAUCCCUAGCUGGUCUGAGAGGCUGACCAGCCACACUGGAACUGAGACACGGUCCAGACUCCUACGGGAGGCAGCAGUGGGGAAUAUUGCACAAUGGGCGAAAGCCUGAUGCAGCCAUGCCGCGUGUAUGAAGAAGGCUUUCGGGUCGUAAAGUACUUUCGGUGGGGAGGCGUUACCCGCAGAGGAAGCACCGGCUAACUCCGUGCCAGCAGCCGCGGUAAUAC